This 292-nucleotide unclassified non-coding RNA is filed under the name Hevea brasiliensis (rubber tree). Lineage: Eukaryota; Viridiplantae; Streptophyta; Magnoliopsida; Malpighiales; Euphorbiaceae. The record is from RNAcentral.
CUCCCUUGUGGCCAAUUAGUUCUAAUGUAUCAUUGCUUACAACAAUCAACCUUGAUAUUGUUAUUGCAUUAUCUAUAUUUUCACCAUUUGCAGAUUUCAAGCGCCUGGUUGAGUCAUGCUGACCGACACAAAAUUGGAAUGUGAAGUUGGGAUCUUGCCAUAGCUCAGUAUUAUGAACAAAGCUCUUAAAAGAUUCCACAUCAUGAAAGCAAAAUGAAAGAGAAGUUAAUUUUGUCAACCUAGACACCUCUCUUGUUAUAUGUUUUACAACAUUGUUCCACCACCGAUUCUG